RNAcentral lists this ribosomal RNA (431 nucleotides) under uncultured bacterium. RNAcentral's name for it is "bacterial SSU rRNA". It matches the Rfam family "Bacterial small subunit ribosomal RNA", at positions 28 to 507 of the family's 1533-position model. The record is from RNAcentral.
GACGAACGCUGGCGGCGUGCUUAAAACAUGCAAGUCGAACGAUGCCUUCGGGCAUAGUGGCGCACGGGUGCGUAACGCGUGGGAAUCUGCCCUUGGGUUCGGAAUAACUCAGAGAAAUUUGAGCUAAUACCGGAUGAUGACGUAAGUCCAAAGAUUUAUCGCCCAAGGAUGAGCCCGCGUAAGAUUAGCUAGUUGGUGGGGUAAAGGCCUACCAAGGCGACGAUCUUUAGCUGGUCUGAGAGGAUGAUCAGCCACACUGGGACUGAGACACGGCCCAGACUCCUACGGAGGCAGCAGUGGGAAUAUUGGACAAUGGGCGAAAGCCUGAUCCAGCAAUGCCGCGUGAGUGAUGAAGGCCUUAGGGUUGUAAAGCUCUUUUACCAGGGAUGAUAAUGACAGUACCUGGAGAAUAAGCUCCGGCUAACUCCGUG